GGGGAAUAAAGAAUUUAGGAAUAGCUGCUAACUAUACCUAAGGUGGUUCAAUUCCAUCUAUCCCCU
Molecule: transfer RNA, 66 nt
Filed under: Ischnobaenella hainana
Lineage: Eukaryota; Metazoa; Arthropoda; Insecta; Hemiptera; Reduviidae
Description: tRNA-Ser
Source: RNAcentral